GUUUUGUGUUAUUCUCUCCCCUCCUGCGAUUAACCAAGCGAUAUCGCUAACUGCAUAUUCAAUCCCAAAACCAUGAAACGAUCCAUCGACGAAUCCACGGCGCCAAUUCCCAAACCCGUUUUCCUCACCAAAGCCCAGCGUGAACAGCAAGCACUUGAACGCCGCCACAUUCAAGUCACCGGUCAUCGCCGCAAUCAGGAAGAACUUCUCCUUUCUACUAAUAACCGUCCCUCCGAUCCAAAACCCUCCGAUUCCGAUCGACGCGAUCGUGAUUCAGAUCGUCGAGAUAGAGAUAGAGAUAGAGAUAGGGACAGUUACAGAGAUAGAGAAAGGGAUAGAGAUAGAGAUAGAGAACGUGAUAGGGAAAGGGAACGGGAAAGGGAUAGGGAUAGAGAUAACAGAGAUCGGGAACGGCGAAACCGCGAUAAGGAACGUGAAGAAGAGAGUAAGGCUCGUGAGCGUGCUCGAUUAGAGAAGCUAGCGGAACGAGAGAAAGAGAAAGAGCUUGAAUCGAUUAAAGAACAAUACCUAGGUUCGAAGAAACCUAAAAAGAGGGUUAUUAAGCCUAGCGAGAAAUUUCGAUUUUCUUUUGAUUGGGAAAAUACUGAGGAUACUUCGCGUGAUAUGAAUUAUCUUUACCAAAACCCUCACGAGGCUCAGCUUUUGUUUGGACGAGGGUUUCGUGCUGGGAUGGAUCGUCGUGAGCAGAAGAAGCUUGCGGCUAAGAAUGAGAAGGAGAUGCGGGAUCAGAUCAGGAAGAAGGAUGGGAUCGAGGAGAAGCCUGAGGAGGCUGAUGCUCAGAGGCGGAAGGAGGAGGCUGCUGAUAUGUAUGAUACGUUUGAUAUGAGGGUUGAUCGUCAUUGGAGUGAGAAGAAGCUUGAAGAGAUGACGGAGAGAGAUUGGCGAAUUUUCAGGGAGGAUUAUAAUAUAUCAUACAAAGGUUCUAAGAUUCCUCGUCCUAUGAGGAGUUGGGUUGAGAGCAAGUUGAGUCAAGAGCUUUUGAAGGCUGUGGAGAAAGCUGGUUACAAAACCCCUUCUCCAAUUCAGAUGGCUGCUAUUCCCCUUGGUCUUCAGCAGCGUGAUGUUAUUGGUGUUGCUGAGACAGGUUCGGGGAAGACUGCUGCGUUUGUUCUUCCUAUGUUGAGUUACAUCACAAGGCUUCCUCCUAUUAGUGAGGAGAAUGAGGCUGAGGGUCCUUAUGCUGUUGUCAUGGCGCCAACUCGCGAGCUUGCUCAGCAGAUUGAGGACGAGACUGUGAAAUUUGCUCAGUAUAUGGGAAUUAAAGUUGUUUCCAUUGUUGGUGGUCAGUCCAUUGAGGAGCAAGGGUUUAAGAUAAGGCAGGGUUGUGAAAUUGUGAUUGCUACUCCUGGUCGUUUGAUUGAUUGCUUGGAGCGUCGUUAUGCGGUUCUCAACCAGUGUAAUUAUGUUGUUCUUGAUGAGGCUGAUCGCAUGAUUGAUAUGGGGUUUGAGCCACAGGUCAUGGGUGUGCUUGAUGCCAUGCCUUCUAGUAAUUUGAAACCUGAGAAUGAAGAUGAAGAGCUCGAUGAGAAAAGGAUUUAUAGGACCACUUAUAUGUUUAGUGCCACCAUGCCUCCUGCUGUGGAGAGGCUUGCUAGGAAGUAUUUGAGGAACCCUGUUGUGGUGACUAUAGGCACUGCUGGAAAAACAACUGACUUGAUUAGCCAGCAUGUGAUAAUGAUGAAGGAAUCUGAGAAAUUUUAUAAGCUUCAGAGAUUGUUGGAUGAGCUUAAUGAUAAAACCGCAAUUGUGUUUGUCAACACCAAGAAGAGCGCCGAUUUUCUUGCUAAGAAUUUGGAUAAGGAAGGCUAUCGUGUGACCACUUUGCACGGAGGGAAAUCACAGGAACAGAGAGAGAUCAGUCUUGAAGGAUUUAGGACCAAGAGAUAUAACGUGCUUGUUGCAACCGAUGUUGCUGGACGUGGUAUUGACAUACCUGAUGUAGCUCAUGUUAUCAACUAUGAUAUGCCUGGGAAUAUUGAAAUGUACACCCAUCGUAUAGGACGUACUGGUCGUGCGGGAAAGACUGGUGUGGCUACAACAUUCCUGACUCUCCAGGACACUGAUGUUUUCUAUGACCUUAAGCAGAUGCUCAUUCAGAGUAACAGUGCCGUUCCACCUGAAUUGGCAAGGCAUGAAGCUUCCAAAUUCAAGCCAGGAUCUAUUCCUGACAGACCACCUAGGCGAAAUGACACUGUUUUUGCCCAUUAGAGAACUUUCUUUUGAGGUUUAUUGCAGGUUUUGUCGUUUCUGCUUGUGCGCAUUCCUUGAACACAGGCAGCAUAUUGUCUCCGCUGAGCAACAAAUUUUGGAAAAGACAGUGAGUGCUUCGAGAAAAGAUUGGGCGAUCAAACUAGAUGACGCACUAUGGGCGUACUGAACCGCCUUCAUAACCCCAAUCGGCAUGUCUCUGUAUCAACUGAUUUAUGGUAAGGCUUGUCAUCUCCCUCUGGAAUUAGAGCAGAAAGCCUUUUGGGCAUCCAAGUUCUUGAAUUGUGAUCUUGCAAAAGUCGGUGAAUCCCGAAUUCUUCAACUUUACGAGUUAGAAGAAUUUCGUAAUCAGGCCUAUGAGAAUGCGAAGAUGUACAAGGAGCAAACACGGAAGUGGCAUGAUUAGAGAAUCAUCAAAAAAGAUUUCCGGGAAGGACAACUGGUGUUGUUGUUUAAUUCGAGGCUCAAGUUGUUUCCUGGCAAAUUGAAAUCAAGAUGGUCCAGGCCAUUUGUUGUGCAUAAGAUAUCUCCCCACGAAGCGAUAGAAAUCAAGAAUCAAACAAAUGGAGAUAUAUUCAAGGUGAAUGGCCAGCGGUUAAAGCCCUAUUACAUAGGCCAAGAGUCUGGAUUGAUUAACCAUGUGCGCCUCACCUAAUGAGGUGGACGACCGUCGAGCCAUGCGACGUUAAACGAAGCGCUUCGUGGGAGGCAACCCACGCGUUUGAUUGCUAACUUAUUUCACUUUUCUUUUUCUUUGUGUGUGUUAAAAUUUUGUUGUAGGUGAGGAGGAGAACUAGAAGGGUAAAGUCACAAACACCUCUAAAUGGAAGGACACCAUACAAAUGCAGCAAAAUAACAAAAUAAAAUUCAAAAGUUGAGGGAAACAUACCAUUUACACGGGCACCCGUGUGUAGGAACACGGUCCGUGUUGAUUGCCAUGAACAGAAAGUGGGCGUGUGCAAGAGAAAAAAACAGUUCAUUAACACGGGCACCCGUGUGGAGGCACACGGCCCGUGUUGUUGGCCCUGAACCAAAGAGGAAAAGAACAAAAAAACAGUUCAUUAACACGGCCACCCGUGUGGAUACACACGGCCCGUGUUGUUUCAUACGGGUUGGAUUUUGAUUUUUUUUUUUGGAAUUUUGUUGUUUUUAAUGGUGGGACCCAUUUUGCUUUUAUCUCACCUCCACCAGUUAUUCUCCACUAUUUUGAGUUUUCAAGUCUCUCACUCUCUCUUCUUCCAUUGUUAACCUAGCCUCCACCACCUAAAGCUUCACUUUUCACCACUAUCCACUCCAUAAAACCUCAUCUCCCUUUCACAAAAACUAUUCUACUCUCCGUCUUCUACGUAGUGACAGUGACCGUUUUCACUAAUUUGUUAGUUGGGUUUUGAGAAUUUUUUGCAGGUACCCAUUAUGCCCCCGAAGAGAGCAAGCAAAGGAAAGGUUGUGGCCACAUCUUCCAGGCCAAAGCAACGUGCGAGACGCACUCCAAAUGCACAUGGCAUCUUGUUUGAGGAACCAGAUCACCAUGAUAGGUAUGUGAUACUUGCUUAACGUAAACUCAUUCCUACACGAUAUACGUGUGAUGCUACUCUUGAUGAGUUAGGAUUAAAGGAAGAAGUGCAUCGCAUGUUUCACAACAUCGGUAUGUUAGAAUUUAUGCAAUUUGAAGCACCAACGUUUGCACGCAUCACACUUGAAUUUUUUAGCACGAUUGAGUUUAAGAUGAGACGCAGGUGGACCGGUUCCGAAAUGGAAUUUUAUGGUCAGUUGACUUUCCGAUUGUUCGAUGAGGAUCAUGAGUUAUCUGUGGAGGAACUUGGGGGUAUUCUAAGACUCCCAGUAUCUGGACCCGGAGCACCUCCAGACACUUUUUCAGCGGUUGAUUUCGGGAGGGCUAUUACAGGUAAAAAUGGUUACAACCCGAGUUCGGGCAAGGCUUCUGGGAUUCAUAACCCUUGUUUCAGGUAUGCACAAAAGGGGUUAGCUUACACCUUGUUUGGACGGGGUGAUAACACCGGGGUGGCCGCAAAGAGAGAGUUGUUUUUCCUACACUACAUGGCCAACAAUGAGAGAGUCAACGUAACCGCUUUUACUGCCAAUCAUUUGAAGCAAGUUGGCCAUGCAAGUACAGGUGAUAUUUCUGUGGGUGACAUGAUCACUCAGAUUGUGGACCACUUUGGUUAUGGUCAGCUCUUGUUGGAAGAAGCAGCAGUGGCAGGUAAGACAAAGAUCAACAUGAACACUCUUGUAAAUCAACAAAUGAUUUCAAUCAUGCCGAAUUAUUACUCUCUGGUGAUUCAUAAUGUGGAAGUGCUUGCAUUACCAGCACCUGGUUCCAUUAGUAUUGCAAAUGUUGCUAACUGGCUGUAUACAGCUUCAGCCUCAUCUGCAGGGGACAAUGUUCAAUAUGACCAGGAUUUUUCAGGUGAUGAGAUGAAGGAAGAUGAUAGACCAGAAGAGCAAUUAGUGCCACCCCACAAGAUUCAAACCUACAUGGUGAAGGGUCCUCUUCUAUGUCUCAGGACCAGUGAGGUUGGAUCCAAACUGAGAUGAGUAUCCUCCGCACCGAGCAAACCAGACAAGGUGUGGAAUUAUCCAGACAGGGUGUGGAAUUGUUCCGACAAGGGACGAUCAUGGAUGACAUGCAAGCUAUGAUGCAACGUCUGAUGUUGCAUUUCCCGCACGAUCCUCCGUCUCCUCCACAACAGUAGUCACUGUAAGUCCCCUUUGUAUUUGGAUUUAAACAUUGAGGUCAAUGUUUAGUUCAGGUGUGAGGGGUUUGUCCUUUCAUGUUUUAUUUCGUUUUCAACUUGUUUAUGUUUUUGGUUUUUGUUUUUGCUUCUGUUGUCGUAGUAGUUGUGUUUUUGUUGUUUACCUGUGUGUACAGAGUGAUGAGAAAUUGUUGGACGAAUCCGGGAUCGAUUAUAGUGGAUGAAAGACACCCCUCAUACUUGUUCUGAUAAGGUACCCCAGAAGUUGAUGCAACCAUGAGAAAGUAAAAGUCGGACACAAUUUGGUGACACUGGACCAAGAGAGCGGUAUGGUAGAACCGAAUCGAAAAAGAACCACAUGACACUAGGAGGCUUCAGAGCUUGUAAGUUUAACCAACAUGGUGAGAAUACAAAGGCCAUUGAAAUUCUGGUGUAGUCAGAAUUCAGAUGUUCUACUCCAAGUCAUGACAUCUGAUCCAACAUUGUCACUAAUACAGCAAGACAGUUAUACAAUUUAAACCCUGUACUAAUAUACACAGGUACACAGAUGUCACGACAUCUGCUUCUAUGUCACCCUAGAAUGGAGGAACACCUAGUUAUGUGCAUCUGGUAGAAAGACUCAGUAGAGAUCAACCAUAGCUCUAACUUCUGUUAUUUUCCUACACAGUUAUCAACAAGAUGUCUCAAUAGUGAUUUGAACAUCACCUGUUACAUUAUUCCAGUUGGCUGGCCUUGUACUUGUAUUUCCUAAAAUAAAGGUUGAACAAGUUAAUCUAAUUUCCACUUAUUAGGGUGCUAACAAAUAGGCUAUUUGUUAGGUUCAUUACAUGUAGUUCAGUUGUUAGUUUCCUGGAUUUUAGCCUGAGAAAAUUACUGAAACAGAAAAACUAAUCAUCCUACAAUUCAGCACAUGCUGUCAAGACUGAAUGUUACAACAUUCAGUUUGACAACCAGAACAUAAACCUCAUGCUUUCAUGCGUAUGUUUGAAUUUUUCAAUGGCGUAAUGCUCCAUGAAAAUGGAAAUGCUACGCGAUUUGGGAGAAUGCAAUGCAAUAUGAUUCUACAUGCAGGGAUGCGAAAUGCUGGGUAGAAUGCCAAACUAAGGCAAUGGGAUCUGCUAGGGAAAUGAUCACCAUCCUUUGGGCUCUAGCAAGGCUGCUGGAGAUGCACAGCGCAAAGAAAUAUGUGGGGAAAUGACCCGCCACACGGUGUUCUAGCAAUGAUGAAAUGCCGAGAUUCUGACUGGGGAGAGAACGACACUGAAAACCUGCUGUUGGGGAAAGCGAUAGUGGUUCUGGCAACCACGAUCUGCGAGAGAUGACUCAGCAGGGGAAGCAAACACUGAUACGAUACCGAGGUUCUGCUUCAAGGAAAGAAACCAUGGAUCUGGCAUUGGGAUUAUCGAUCUGGCUUCGAACUCUAAGGAGCAGCCACUUCUGCUGGGAAGAUACAGUCUGGCACUGUCAACUCCGCUGGGGAUAUAUAGUCUGACACUGUCAACUCUACUAGGGAGUGUAUGUCCUGAAAAAAACGCUUGGGGAAGUACAGUGGUGAGAACCUGCUGGGGAUUGAAGAAUCCAACACUCUGAUCAGCUCUGCAGGGAUAAGACACCGGAUUCGUCUGUUGGCGACUUCACUGGGGAAGAUAUUCACGAUCAUCUGCAGGGAAUUUUAAGGAAAUGCCCCGAGGGUAUUUGUUCUGAAUAGACGAUCCAAAGCACUUAAAAUUUACAGCAAUUUUAAAUGUUUAUUAAGCAUGUACCUGUAAAGCCCUUAUGUGUCAUGAUGCAGUGUUUAUCAAAAAUUCGGACGUCAUUUUUGCAAACAAAACAGUAAAAUGAAAAUGAAAACAGAGAUAUACUGAAUAACAUGAUUUUAUUGAUUGAAUGGCCUCUGAAUAGGCAUUUACAUCAGGAAGCAAUCCCUGGAAAGAGGUAAUCGCACAAAAGAUAAAAAACAGAAAUUAAUCUAAUGGCAAUGUGAAAUGGAUUUCUAUUGGGUUCCAAUUCUGCUAUGACUUGCCCGUCUUCAAGAUCCUCUAGAUGAUCAGCCUUCUGAAAAGGUGAUUGGACUGUUUCCUACCCUUCGAAAAUUUCCAGUCAUCGACAUGAGAUGAGAUUCAGAACUAACUCAGAACGCAGUCAUUCGCUUAAUCCCUAACUUUUGCCUGGAUCGUCCUUUUCGGGUUUUCAAUCCACCGGGAUACCCAUUUUUACCUAAGUUGCCUUUUCAGGUUUUCAACUUACCGGGUGUACGAUCUUUUCAUUUUUAAUCCCUAAUUUUUGCCCGAACCUUUUCAUUUUCUUGGUUCGUCGGGAUGCCCAUUUUUGCCUGGACUAUUCUUUUUACUGUCCAGCGGGUCAAUUUUAUGCGAAGUAUUUUUUAACUGCGUCUGAGUUCACAGGGGAAGUGAAGCUUUCACCAUCCAUAGUUGCAAGCAUUAAGGCCCACCAUCAAAAACCUUGGUGACAAUAUACGGUCCAUCAUAGUUAGGAGUCCACUUGCCCCUAUGAUCGGUCUGAGGAGGAAGGAUCCUUUUCAACACUAAAUCUCCGACUUGGAAACAACGAGGACGCACUUUUUGAUCAAAGGCUCUCUUAAUCCGACGCUGAUACAACUGCCCAUGACAAAUGGCUGCCAUUCGCUUCUCUUCGAUAAGACUCAACUCAUUGAACCUUGUCCGAAUCCAUUCGGCUUCGUCUAACUUGACAUCCAACAGGACUCUUAGAGAAGGAAUCUCCACUUCAACAGGUAGGACUGCUUCCAUACCAUACACCAGGGAGUAAGGGGUUGCCCCAAUCGACGUACGUACUGAAGUACGGUACCCAUGCAAGGCGAAGGGUAGCAUCUCAUGCCAAUCUCUGUACGUGACGACCAUCUUCUGCACAAUCUUCUUUAUGUUCUUAUUUGCCGUCUCAACAGCGUCGUUCCUCCUGGCUUGGUAUGUGUUGUUAAUGAUGAAUGUCAAAACAUUCUGAUUGACAUUUAAACAGAAGGCUAUGUAUCAGGUCUGUUAUUAUCUUGAUAAGCAGACUGAAAUACAAGCUGAGUUAUGGCAGACAAGAUUAUAACAUGCAGAAGGUAAACAAACACAGGAAAUUGUUAACCCAGUUCGGUGCAACAUCACCUACUCUGGGGGCAUACCAAGCCAGGAAGAAGAUCCACUAUCAGCAGUAUUAAUUCAGAGUUAAACUCGCCCGUUUACAACUCUUCACUUAAUCCCUACCCAAUGCAAUCUAUACCUAGGAACUCCUAGAUAGAAACCUCCAGUUUCCAUUCCUAUCACUACAAAUACAAUUUAAUGUUAAACAACUUGAACUUGCUUCACAGCUUCAUUCAAGAACACAUAACUCUUACCUACAGGCUUUGAGUUACAAAUACUCUCAACUUUGAACACUGAGAAACACAUGGUAACCUUCCCACAAGUUGGGAGGUUUACCUCACACACACCCCUAAUUUUUCAUUCUAAGAGGCUUACAAAAACUAGGUUUCGAUAUGCUAUUUAUAACCUAAUCACCCAACUGGAUUUGGGCCUUCAGAAAUCGCAGCAAACUUCUCCUUUGCUGUUACAACAUCAGCAGAAACUUUCUGCUACAAAUAAGGUCUUCAAUCUUUUAGUUCCUUAAAUCUUUCCAUAUAUAUCUCCUUAUUUAGAGCCUAUAUAUUCUGAUUGAGUCUUUAAGACCUCCACAUGGGAGUUAGGAUAUUCACCAGAUAUCCUCACUAAUCCCAGAAUAUAUACUGAAUUAAUUAAUUCAGUUUUCUACACAUGUGCGAUGUCACAGACAUGAUGUCGUGACAUCGUACAUGACAUGUUGGUCCAGAUGUUGAACUUCUUCAACCCAACAUAUUAAAACAACAGAGAUGAUUACAUUAUUUGUUUUACAAAAUUAAUGCCAAUCCUAAGGUAUUAACACAAACACUAAAGAUCAACAUGAGAAUUCAGUCAGGUAUGACUCUAUCACUCUGAUUUUGCGUAUGUUCUUUUGACACUUCACAACAUGACAACACACACUGAGGCAAGUUGUUUGUUUAGCCCAGAGCCUUUCUAGCCAUCCCUAUUUGUAUGUUUACCCUUCGUGAACCCCCUUGAGCCUUAGCCAUUUUGUUCGUAAUAAACCCCAUGUUAACCAUUGAUCAUUCAUUUCUUCCAUUAAUCGGCAUGAUUGUUGUGGGUUACAAAAUGUGCAAAAAGCUAAGUUUGGGGUGGUAAUCUUGAAAGAAAGGGCAAGUGCAUAAUAAGAGAUCUAAAAGUAAUACAAAAUGAAGAGACAUGUGUCUGUCCAAAAAGAAAAAAAAAGAGAAAAAUGCACUUGCCGAGACUUAAGACUCUAACACCUAUAAAAUGCUCACAAAGAAUUGAGUUGAAAAGAGUCAAAAGUAAAUAAACCCCCAAAGUUAUGAGUUAUACAUAAGAAGAAAAAAAAAGAGAAAAUCAAACAACAUGAAUGCCGAGUUCAAAACCAUUUGUUAUCCAUUUAUGUGUUUAUCCCACCGUACCCAAGCCCCGUUACAACCGAAAAGACCUCAUAAAGUGUGUGGAAUCUAUUGUUGUAGUGAAAUUAGAAUGUAUUCAAAUUUAAGAGUUUGGUAUUGCAUGUUGUGCUGUGAGUGUAAACACCCUAACCAUGAGAGAUGUUGUGAGUGUGUGAAAAAGCUUGCAGGACGAGGCUUCUGAUGUGAAAAUGUGGCGAACAGUCUGAGUCGGAAAAACCGGAAACUUGAUUUGAAAGGAAGAACACAAGUUGUGAAGGACAAGGUUGCAUUAUGGAGAAUGAAUUCGUAGGUGACCUUUGUUUGGACUCAAUACAUCACUUGAGGACAAGCAAUUAGACAAGUUUGGGGUUGUGAUCGGUCACCAUUUCCAUUGAAUUCCCACCUUUGAUCCGACAUAUUUUCAUCACUUUGGUAAGAUUUGUGGUUGUUUAUAGUUGUUUUAUAGUCAUUUAUCAUGUUUUGUUAGUUUAUUAUCGCAUUUCAUUUUGUUACAUGUUUGUGUCAAAAAGUCUCUUUUAUGCUUCGAUUUGGUAGUGUUAUUGUUACAGGUUGUUGCACAGGUUUAAAAGGACUAAUAGUUGAUUGUUGGAUGCUCAGAGAGGCAAAAAUAUGAAGAUACAGCAGGUCAACACGGCCCCCCGUGUGCAUCAACACGGCCCGUGUUGUUUGUCAGGAAAAGAGAGCUCAGAGAGGUAAAACAGAGGGUUAACACAGGCACCCGUGUGAAUCCACACGGCCCGUGUUGAUGCCUCUGUAGCUUGCUCUGAAAAUACAAAUGUUGAACAGCACACACGGGCACCCGUGUGAAUCCACACGGCCCGUGUUGAUGGGCGCGACUGAGAAACUUUAUUUUUCGUCGUGUGGAUCUAUUCUGCUCAUUAAGGGUAUUUUGGACUUUUUGCUGGGAGAAAAUCCAUCUGAAGCUAUUAGAAGACUUGGGAGAAAAAGAGGACACUUUUUGACAUACGAAAGAAAACAUUGCACUGAAGAAGAUAGCUACUACGGAGGAUUCGAAGACGGCGAGCUUCAAGGGCAUCAACCAUUGAAGAUCAAAAUCUCCUAAUUCUUUGUAAUGUUUAAUUUUCACACUAUGAUUUCUUUGAAUACUAUGAGAGGCUAAACCCCCAAUGUUAGGGGGGUGGUCCUGAUUUGAUCGUAUAUUAUGAAUUCGAACAAAUGAUUUCCUUAUUACCAUGUUACGUAUUUCAAUUCAA
Molecule: RNA transcript, 10655 nt
Organism: Lathyrus oleraceus (garden pea)
Lineage: Eukaryota; Viridiplantae; Streptophyta; Magnoliopsida; Fabales; Fabaceae
Gene name: DEAD-box ATP-dependent RNA helicase 21
Exons: 3
Source: RefSeq, a predicted model, not a curated record